UACGGAGGGGGCUAGCGUUGUUCGGAAUUACUGGGCGUAAAGCGCACGUAGGCGGAUUGUUAAGUCAGAGGUGAAAUCCCGGAGCUCAACUUCGGAACUGCCUUUGAUACUGGCAAUCUAGAGUCCGGAAGAGGUUAGUGGAAUUCCCAGUGUAGAGGUGAAAUUCGUAGAUAUUGGGAAGAACACCAGUGGCGAAGGCGGCUCGCUGGGACGUUACUGACGCUGAGACGCGAAAGCGUGGGGAGCAAACAGG
Molecule: ribosomal RNA, 253 nt
Filed under: uncultured bacterium
Lineage: Bacteria
Description: partial 16S ribosomal RNA
Rfam family: Bacterial small subunit ribosomal RNA
Source: RNAcentral